Molecule: long non-coding RNA, 1892 nt
Filed under: Nicotiana tabacum (common tobacco)
Lineage: Eukaryota; Viridiplantae; Streptophyta; Magnoliopsida; Solanales; Solanaceae
Description: long non-coding RNA (NTAB_LNC015285)
Source: RNAcentral
CUCAUCGUCUCUCUCAACUCACUCCUCUCACAGACCACCCUAAGAAACCCUAGAUCCGCCUCCUUUUCCACCGCUUGUCGCCGGCGGCGCCGGUCCCAAACCACUCCAAAUUGACACCACAGAACCACCAUGACCCCCUUGUAUUAAAUCCCCACUCUGUUUCCCUCGAAUCUUGCUAGAGUGUCUCUAAUCUUAAAUAUAAGGUUCGAGCCCCAGAAGUCAAAGCUAAAUCUGUAUAUGAAAGGGUGUUUCUCCAGUUUUCAUGAUUGUUCAUGGCCGGUUUUAUCAUGAAAUAACGUUAUUCGCUUGUUCUUGACAAAGAACAAGCGGUUGACAUUAUUUGGGGGUUUAAAUCGGAAAGUCAGUUGCAAGUUCGAGCCUGAGUUGGUGAGUUUCUUUCUUUUCUUUUGUUUACUCUUGUGAUUGUUUCAGCUUUCUUUCCUUUUCUCUUCUUCUCUUUCUCUCCGGUUAAUUAAACUAAUACUUGAACAAGUUUUUAGCUAAGAUUGAGUACUGUCCAUUUUGUUCCUUUUUCAGUUUUUCCUUUCCAAGUUUUGUUCUAUGAUUUUUUGCUUGGUCUAUUUAAUUCUUUUGUUAACAGCAUGAUUAAUUUCUGAUUUCACUUUGUUUGUUUAGCCAUUUAGUUUAACUAGGUUUAUAUGAUAAUUUAAUCCCUUAGUUUAGGUUUUAAGUUUUGUGAAAAUUGUUUAGUCGUUUUCCUACUGCUUGCCAUAAUUUGCUCAAUCUUGGUUUGAUUCAUUUUACCGUUUGGGCUCUGAAUUCAUUUCAGAAUUCAUUCCAAGGAAUUUGAAUUGAGUUUUUGAGUCCAGGCCUGGUUUAACCAUUGGGUCAUUUGACCCAUGACCCAUUUGAGGUCCUGGGGGUAAUAUUUAGGGGUUUGAGGGGUAGUUUGGGAACUUUGGCUUAGGGAAUCUUUAGUAUCUGCUGUGAGAAGGUUCUAGGAAGCUAGAGAGGGGGAUUAUUCUGAAUUUCUGAUUUCUAAACUAGGGGUAUUUGAGCAAAAAUGAAAACUCUAGAAGGUUUGAAGUGCAAAACAUAGUUCAUUUCUGCAGCCCUAAUGACUUGCCUAUAAAGGCACCAUUACUUGACAUUCAUGGGGGAUCGGAAAAGAUUAAAAACGUCCAGAAAAUUGAAACGGCUAAAACUUGGGAAUAACACUGAUUUCCAUGCACUUUCUUUGUGACAAAUUGCUAAAAAUUUCUGCGUAGUGUUGAUUUGCUGAUCUUCUUCACUAGUUGAAUCUCUGAAAACUUCAAAUCUUACACCUGGGUUGAAGAUGGUAUGAUUUUGGGAUUGUGAAAUCUGGUUUUGAGUUGUUGUGGGGUUUUACUGUUCCAUUUGUUUUUUUCUGAGCUGAUUUCACUGUUUUAUUGGCUGCAUCUGGUUUGGUUUCAGUUACUGCUUACUGCUGAUCCCUCACUUCUUUUGGUUUUUCCCUUCUUCAUUACCAGGCAUUCUCUUAAAACUAUGGUAUAAAUGAAGCCUGAUUAAGCUGUGUGUAAAGAUCUGUGACCAAGCUGGAUUUGAAUGAAAAGGCAUUAGCCUCUGUUAUGAUUACUGUGCAAUUCUGCCAUGUAUUAUUCAUGUUUCUAGUCUAGUUUAUUGUGAAGGCCCCAUUCCAUGAUAUACAGUUAGUUUCAAAUGCUGAAGUUGAACUUUUCUUGAGUAUAAAAGAUUCAAGAGUGCUUUACACUAGGUGGAACAUGUAAUAAUUAAGGAUUGUGAUAUGUAGUUUAAUCAAUUGAAACUAUUUGGCUUUUGGUUUGUGUUUUUCAUAGCCAUAGGUAAACGCAUGUCGACUCAGAUCAUUUGCCUAAUGAAUUUGGUUUAAGUUUGUUUUCCCAGUAAUUGUGCUCAAAUUUGCACCCGUA